UCUAAAAUGGCAGAUUAGUGCAUUGAACUUAAACCUCAAAAAUAAAUUUUUUUUUUUAGAA
RNAcentral lists this transfer RNA (61 nucleotides) under Curculionoidea sp. 11 KM-2017. RNAcentral describes it as "tRNA-Leu". The record is from RNAcentral. Lineage: Eukaryota; Metazoa; Arthropoda; Insecta; Coleoptera.